This 440-nucleotide ribosomal RNA is filed under the name uncultured bacterium. RNAcentral describes it as "partial 16S ribosomal RNA". It matches the Rfam family "Bacterial small subunit ribosomal RNA", at positions 338 to 795 of the family's 1533-position model. The record is from RNAcentral.
CCUACGGGUGGCAGCAGUGUGGAAUAUUGCACAAUGGGGGAAACCCUGAUGCAGCGACGCCGCGUGAGUGAAGACGUAUUUCGGUAUUUAAAGCUCUAUUAGCAGGGAAGAAAAUGACGGUACCUGAUUAAGAAGCCCCGGCUAACUACGUGCCAGCAGCCGCGGUAAUACGUAGGGGGCAAGCGUUAUCCGGAUUUACUGGGGGUAAAGGGAGCGUAGACGGCAGCACAAGUCUGGAGUGAAAUGCCGGGGCUUAACCCCGGAACUGCUUUGGAAACUGUGCAGCGAGAGUGCAGGAGGGGUAGGUGGAAGUCCUGGUGUAGCGGUGAAAUGCGUAGAUAUUAGGAAGAACACCAGUGGCGAAGGCGGCUUACUGGACUGUAACUGACGUUGAGGCUCGAAAGCGUGGGGAGCAAACAGGAUUAGAUACCCGUGUAGUC